GAAAGUAAUAAAGGGCGUAUGGGGGAUGCCUAGGCUCUUGGAGGCGAAGAAAGACGUGGUAAGCUGCGAUAAGCCUCGGGGAUUUGCAAACGAGAAUUGAUCCGAGGAUUUCUGAAUGGGACAACCCGGCAGGCAGAAGGCCUGUCACACGAAAGUGGGCCAACCCUCUGAACUGAAACAUCUUAGUAGGAGGAGGAAAAGAAAGAAACAUCGAUUUCCUAAGUAGCGGCGAGCGAACGGGAAACAGCCUAAACCACAAUUGUUACGGCAACUGUGGGGUUGUAGGACUGCAAUAUUCAAAUGACUGUGAACUGGAAUGUUCUGGAAAGUUCAUCCAUAGAGAGUGAAAGACUCGUACAGGCAAGCACGUCAGGCGAUAGCAGUAUCCUGAGUAGGGCGGGACACGAGGAAUCCUGUCUGAAUCCGCCGGGACCACCCGGUAAGGCUAAAUACUCCCAAGAGACCGAUAGUGAACCAGUACCGUGAGGGAAAGGUGAAAAGAACCCCGAACAGGGGAGUGAAAUAGAACCUGAAACCAUACGCUUACAACCUGUCGGAGCGGCUUCGUGCCGUGACGGCGUGCCUAUUGAAUAAUGAGCCUACGAGUUACUAAUCACUGGCAAGGUUAAGUGCACGGAUGCACGGAGCCGAAGCGAAAGCGAGUCUGAAUAGGGCGUUUAGUCAGUGGUUGUAGACGCGAAACCUUGCGAUCUACCCUUGAGCAGGUUGAAGGUUGGGUAAAACCAACUGGAGGACCGAACGAAUAAGCGUUGAAAAGCUUCUCGAUGACUUGAGGGUAGGGGUGAAAGGCUAAUCAAGCUGGGAAAUAGCUCGUACUCCCCGAAAUGCCUUUAGGGGCAGCGUUGUAAUUAAGAGUCUACUGGAGGUAGAGCUACUGAUUGGAUGCGGGGGCUUCACCGCCUACCAAAUCCUGACAAACUCCGAAUGCCAGUAGUAUGAUUUACAGCAGUGAGCGACCGGGUGCUAAUGUCCGGUUACGAGAGUGGAACAACACAGACCAGCAACUAAGGUCCCCAAGAGUAUACUAAGUUGAUCUAACGAUGUUUUGCUGCAGAGACAGCUAGGAUGUUAGCUUGGAAGCAGCUAUUCAUUCAAAGAGUGCGUAACAGCUCACUAGUCGAGCGGCAAAGCGUGGAUAAUAAACGGGCAUCAAGUAUACCACCGAAGUUCUGGGCACGAAAGUGCGGUAGGGGAGCAUUCCAUUCCGCGUUGAAGCCGAACCGUGAGGUUUGGUGGAGUGUAUGGAAAAGCAAAUGUAGGCAUGAGUAACGAUAAUGCGGGAGAGUAACCCGCACACCGCAAGACCAAGGUUUCCUGAUCAACGCUAAUCGGAUCAGGGUUAGUCGGGUCCUAAGGGUAAGCCGAACGGUGAUCUCGAUGGAUAAUCGGUUAAUAUUCCGAUACUGACAUAUACCUCGAUGGAGAGACGAAGGAACGUAAGUGCCGCCACCUGACGGAAUAGGUGGUUAAAGGGCUUAGGUAUAGGGGCAGAUUAAGAGUUAGUCCUUGCUGAAACCUGACAGUACAGAGAGCCUACGGGCAAUUUGAUAGUGCACCCAAGUCGACUUCCGAGAAAAUCUUCUAAGUUAUAGUAUAUGUCACCCGUACCGUAAACCGACACAGGUGGUCGAGGAGAGUAUCCUAAGGUGCUCGAGUGAAUCACGGUUAAGGAACUAGGCAAAUUAACCCCGUAACUUCGGGAAAAGGGGUCCCAUCGCGAGGUGGGCGCAGCGAAGAGGUCCAGGCGACUGUUUAUCAAAAACACAGGGCUCUGCAAAUUCGAAAGAAGACGUAUAGGGCCUGACACCUGCCCGGUGCUGGAAGGUUAAGAGGGGAUGUCAUCGCAAGAGAAGCAUUGAAUCGAAGCCCCAGUAAACGGCGGCCGUAACUAUAACGGUCCUAAGGUAGCGAAAUUCCUUGUCGGGUAAGUUCCGACCUGCACGAAUGGUGUAACGAUCUGG
RNAcentral lists this ribosomal RNA (1982 nucleotides) under gut metagenome. RNAcentral's name for it is "bacterial LSU rRNA". It matches the Rfam family "Bacterial large subunit ribosomal RNA", at positions 1 to 2012 of the family's 2925-position model. The record is from RNAcentral.